GACGAACGCUGGCGGCGUGCUUAACACAUGCAAGUCGAACGGGAGUAUUGAAGAAGCUUGCUUUAGAGAUACUUUAGUGGCGGACGGGUGAGUAACGCGUGAGGAGCUGUCCUAUGCAGGGGGACAACAGCUGGAAACGGCUGCUAAUACCCCAUAAGCCGAGAGGUAAAAGGAUCAAUCCGGCAGAGGAGGUACUCGCGUCCUAUCAGCUAGUAGGUGAGGUAACGGCUCACCUAGGCGAAGACGGGUAGCCGGCCUGAGAGGGCGAACGGCCACACUGGAACUGAGAAACGGUCCAAACUCCUACGGGAGGCAGCAGUGAGGAAUAUUGGUCAAUGGGCGAGAGCCUGAACCAGCCAAGUCGCGUGAAGGAAGAAGGUCUUAUGGAUUGUAAACUUCUUUAGCAGGGGAAUAAAGGUUAUUACGAGCUAAUAAUUUGCAGGUACUCUGACGAAAAAGGAUCGGCUAACUCCGUG
Molecule: ribosomal RNA, 476 nt
Filed under: uncultured bacterium
Lineage: Bacteria
Description: bacterial SSU rRNA
Rfam family: Bacterial small subunit ribosomal RNA
Source: RNAcentral